This 466-nucleotide ribosomal RNA is filed under the name uncultured bacterium. RNAcentral describes it as "partial 16S ribosomal RNA". It matches the Rfam family "Bacterial small subunit ribosomal RNA", at positions 28 to 507 of the family's 1533-position model. The record is from RNAcentral.
GACGAACGCUGGCGGUGUGCUUAACACAUGCAAGUCGAAUGGUAAGGCCCUUUCGGGGGUACACGAGUGGCGAACGGGUGAGUAACACGUGAGUAACCUGCCCUCAUCUCUGGGAUAACAGUCGGAAACGGUUGCUAAUACUGGAUAUGAGCUUGCAAGGCAUCUUGUGGGUUGGAAAGAUUUUUUUGGUUGGGGAUGGACUCGCGGCCUAUCAGCUUGUUGGUGAGGUAGUGGCUCACCAAGGCUUCGACGGGUAGCCGGCCUGAGAGGGCGACCGGCCACAGUGGGACUGAGAUACGGCCCAAACUCCUACGGGAGGCAGCAGUGGGGAAUAUUGCACAAUGGACGGAAGUCUGAUGCAGCAACGCCGCGUGCGGGAUGACGGCCUUCGGGUUGUAAAACGCUUUCAAUUGUGACGAAGCUUUUUGUGACGGUAGCAGUAGAAGAAGCACCGGCUAACUACGUG